GAUGAACGCUGGCGGCGUGCCUAAUACAUGCAAGUCGAGCGAACGGACGAGACGCUUGCUUCUCUGAUGUUAGCGGCGGACGGGUGAGUAACACGUGGAUAACCUACCUAUAAGACUGGGAUAACUUCGGGAAACCGUAGCUAAUACCGGAUAAUAUUUUGAACCGCAUGGUUCAAAAGUGAAAGACGGUCUUGCUGUCACUUAUCGAUGGAUCCGCGCUGCAUUAGCUAGUUGGUAAGGUAACGGCUUACCAAGGCGACGAUGCGUAGCCGACCGGAGAGAGUGAUCGGCCGCACUGGAGCGGGGACACGGUCCAGGCGCCUACGGGAGGCAGCAGUAGGGAAUGUGCCGCAAUGGGCGAAAGCCUGGCGGAGCGACGCCACGUGAGUGAUGGAGGUCUUCGGAUCGUGAAGCUCUGUUAUUGGGGAAGAACAGAUGUGUAAGGAACUGUGCACAGCUUGACGGUACCUAGUCAGAAAGCCACGGCUAACUACGUG
Molecule: ribosomal RNA, 497 nt
Filed under: uncultured bacterium
Lineage: Bacteria
Description: partial 16S ribosomal RNA
Rfam family: Bacterial small subunit ribosomal RNA
Source: RNAcentral